This is a long non-coding RNA of Rhododendron vialii, 944 nucleotides long. RefSeq lists it as uncharacterized. The record is from RefSeq and is a predicted model, not a curated record. Lineage: Eukaryota; Viridiplantae; Streptophyta; Magnoliopsida; Ericales; Ericaceae. The transcript has 3 exons.
GCCCUUAUUAUUACUCCACCAAAGCCAAAAAGCCCCAUCUCAUUUCUCCACCAACGCCAAAAAGCCCUAAUAUCUCAUUUUGACCAAGAAGGCUGUGUGUGUGAUUCGUGUGAAGGCUGAGGCUGCCCGAGCGAGGUAGACGAGCUGCCUUCUGGAUCUCCGGCGACCUCGGCUCAGCUUAUUAUGGCAUCAAACGCUGCUGAAGACACUUCCCACCUUGCCAGAGGCUCAAGAAAUAGCUCGAAAACCGAGGAAGGUGUAGCACCGCUGUAUUUAGGGAUUGGAAGCUCUUUAGUUUGAUUUUGCCGCAUUGUUCAAGUCCGUGAUGUCCAAGCAGGGGUUAAGUCAAUGUUCACAAUGGAAGAUAUUGCGGUAAUGGGGAUCUGGGAGUUGUUUCCGCAUUAGAAUAAGUUCAGAUUUGAGUACUGAGCGAGAGUACUACUUUGUGCGCUUCCAUGCAUGCUUAGAGGAUCUUUUUUUCUUCUUUUCUAAAUAGGAGUCUUGAUGUAAGCAUUGCAUUUUAUUGAACCUGAGUCUUGAAGUAAACAACACAGGUGGCACUUUCUUCCCGGCUAACGCUGUGGUUACUGUUGAUUCCAAGGGGUUCUCUUUUGGUCUCCUAAAGUAGUUGCGCUUUAAUCUUUAAUUUUAUUCGUAAUUUUUGGAUUUGAAAAGGAGUGAUAAAGAUUUCACUUACGAUGACCAAAGCAUGGUGCAGGAAAUUGGGGAAACACUUUAUGCAGCCAAAUAUGGCCAGCUGGGAUCGGUUAGUCCUCCACAUUUCACUAUGUAGUGCCAUCUUUUUGUGGAAGCAAUCGAGCUAUGCACAAUAAUUGCGUGCGUGAGUACUAUGUAGUGUGUGUGGCUAUCGUCUCUUGUUAUUUCUUUUAAUGUUUGUGGUCACAGUAAACUCCCUAUUAAUGCAACCGUAAUUUUUAUGGUUU